GUCCUGGCCCUAAACGGUGCACGUUUGCUGUAAGAGGAAUCGACCCCUUUUGUGGCGAAGCUAACGCGUUAAACGUGCCGCCUGGGAAGUACGGCCGCAAGGUUAAAACUCAAAGAAAUUGACGGGGGCCUGCACAAGCGGUGGAGUAUGUGGCUUAAUUCGAUGCAACGCGAAGAACCUUACCUGGCCUUGACAUGCACAUAGUAGAAGCCUGAAAGGGUGACGAGGUAGCAAUACCAGUGUGCACAGGUGCUGCAUGGCUGUCGU
This 267-nucleotide ribosomal RNA is filed under the name uncultured bacterium. RNAcentral describes it as "partial 16S ribosomal RNA". It matches the Rfam family "Bacterial small subunit ribosomal RNA", at positions 793 to 1055 of the family's 1533-position model. The record is from RNAcentral.